This 482-nucleotide ribosomal RNA is filed under the name uncultured bacterium. RNAcentral's name for it is "partial 16S ribosomal RNA". It matches the Rfam family "Bacterial small subunit ribosomal RNA", at positions 30 to 505 of the family's 1533-position model. The record is from RNAcentral.
AUUGAACGCUGGCGGCAGGCCUAACACAUGCAAGUCGAGCGGAUGAAGGGAGCUUGCUCCUGGAUUCAGCGGCGGACGGGUGAGUAAUGCCUAGGAAUCUGCCUGGUAGUGGGGGAUAACGUCCGGAAACGGGCGCUAAUACCGCAUACGUCCUGAGGGAGAAAGUGGGGGAUCUUCGGACCUCACGCUAUCAGAUGAGCCUAGGUCGGAUUAGCUAGUUGGUGGGGUAAAGGCCUACCAAGGCGACGAUCCGUAACUGGUCUGAGAGGAUGAUCAGUCACACUGGAACUAAGACCCGGUCCAGACUCCUACGGGAGGCAGCAGUGGGGAAUAUUGAACAAUGGGCGAAAGCCUGAUCCAGCCAUGCCGCGUGUGUGAAGAAGGUCUUCGGAUUGUAAAGCACUUUAAGUUGGAAGGAAGGGCAGUAAGUUAAUACCUUGCUGUUUUGACGUUACCAACAGAAUAAGCACCGGCUAACUUCG